Molecule: long non-coding RNA, 7286 nt
Organism: Aquila chrysaetos chrysaetos
Lineage: Eukaryota; Metazoa; Chordata; Aves; Accipitriformes; Accipitridae
Exons: 5
Source: RefSeq, a predicted model, not a curated record
GGCCAGCCAGCCUUUUUCCUAAUAGCCGGGCACAUCACCAGCAGGGUCCAGCCCUGCGUGGGGCAGAGAGAGAGACCUGAGAUGUUCCUCGAAGCUUCAGCUUCGUGCUUACGAGUUAUGACAAAGUCGUUGCUGGUUUGGUAUGGUCAGGCAUUCCCUCUGCUAACUCUGUGCUUUGGCUCUCCUCCCUGGCAAGUAUAAAUGUUCCAGAUAGUUGAACAGAUUCCUUGACACAAGACAGCUGCUUUUGUAGGGAGGAAUUAAUUUAAUCAAGGCUACUCCAUCAUUAAAAUAAUCUGAAGUGUCAGAUGGAAAAGCACAGAAGCGAGCUGACUUGAAGAUGAAAACUCAACAUUUUGUCCAGCCAGAAGUGUCCAGAAGAUGACGUAACAUUAUAAUAAGUCACUCUGGGUCUCCAUAUAAUAUUUUAGUAAUGUAAAAAAAAUAUCAUCCAAAGAGAAGUCUAAAGCCUGGCUGGCUGGCUUGAUAAAUUGUAUUUCUUCUCUGGAGCAUAAGACACCAUGCAGAUGUCGAAGACAACACAGUGGUCCACAAAGGGCAAGAUUAGACACGUGUGGUUGAUCCUACCGUGCAGAAUACAAGGGCCCUUUUUGGCUGAAAAUAGCAGAAAAUAGUGCAAACGGGUAACACGAAAAGCUGUCAAGCUCCACCUCUUGCGACAAGGCAGGAUCUGCUAUACCUUAAUUACUUGAUUACUUAAUUACUUCUCCAUCAUACAGCACCACAGUGUACUCUUCAUGGGCAACCAGCAUGGAUAUGGACACAGCCACUGCAUUAAGCAAAUCAUGUUGACAUUUGUUUAAAGAAACCUGUUCUGUGCAUAGAAGGGGACAACAGCAAAGUAGACAUAUUUAAGCGUGACUGCAAACAGAAGAAGGAAAGACCUAAAGAUUAAGGAUUUUAUUCAGAAAUUGGAGAACCAAGAGAAGGCUCCUGGUGAAUAGCUCCACCAACCAACAAUUCAGCACCAGACAGCACAAACCUGAGGGAUUUGUGAACUACUUCCACCACGCAGAUGGGAGAAGGGCUGAAAAAUGAAUGCACAAUUAUUCCACAGAAGUCCAUCAAAAUCAUAAUGAGCGUAACACACAAUAAAUUCCAGCUCUGCUCUGAACCCUGAACCCAGUAAUUAAAUGAUCUCUCAGUUUUUUAAAUAAGCCUAUACCCAUUGGGUACUUUAAAUGAUGCCAUAAGUAAUGUAAAAUAAUUAUCUUAAAAGUGCAGCUGCGCUGCCGUGAGUUUUCUCUCCAGAAGUGUUUUGGGUUAGCCAGGAUGGCUGAAGGCAAACCCACCCUCAUGCUGGAGGUGGCCUCAGAUGGGCAGAAGGAGAGAGAAAAUGUGAAGUCUUUUCAGGAAAUCUCCCACCUUUGUGCUCCUCCCAGCGCUCCCCGCUGGGUACCAGCACUGACGCCAGCAUCCAUGGGUUAGCAUCGCUGCUUUUGCCAGCCUGCUUUCACAGCAGAUAGCCAGCAACACACCUCCUCCGCUCCUGGCCCGAGACACGGGCUCAGCACAACCCUGACGGCAAGGCUGGGGAAAAGACUUAUCGUUCAAGUGCUCUGGUCCUGUGCCAUCCCAGAGAAUUACUUAGAAGGUGGCCUUAUGCUGCAACUGUGCAUGCAGGACAUGCAACGAAGACUUCAGUGUCCAAGAGAUAAAAGGAGGGGUAAGGGUACUGUUCUGCACCUGGAAGACAGCACUGCACAUUUGGGUCAUCCCAGCUACAGACAGCAACAUCCCAGCGAUGUCUUUCAUUACAGGUACCACAGAAUUACUGAGAAACCCUUUCAGCAAAAGUGCUUUACAAACGGCAAACAAUUUUCUUCAUUCAAGGUGCUGAAAAUUAUUACUGCCAGCUCUUGCUGUUGCUUUCCCUAGCGCGCCAGCCUCUCCUUAGCCGUGCAAGGACCGGGUGUCAGGCUGAGAUCCAAGUCCCGAUAUCCCGACUGACUCAUCAGUCGGGGAAGUGAGAGGUGGGUGCACCAGCAGCCUCCCCACAGCCCCUCUCAUUGCGGGGCCCCUUGCUGGAUGCUUCUUUUCUGUACAUUCUCGCUGGUUCAUGAGCCAAAACUCAGUCUGUACGUUCUGGAAAUCCCUUUUCAGUUUCAACACUAAAGGUGCAGACCGAUGUCGUAACUGCUGCAGGACGACCCAUGCCACUCCGGCAGGGCCCCGUCUCCCCUGGGAGGGCAGGGGGGGCAAUCCCUGCCCCGCACACAGAGCUGCCCUGCCACGCUGGCGGGGAAGGGGCUGCCAAUUUCUGCAGCGCCAUCUGAUGCUGUCCCUUCUCGGCUUCUAUGGAGAAAUCUGGCAAGAUGUACUUUUCCUUCGCUUAGCUUUCCUGUUAACCCUUUUGCUGAGUGGGAGCCGAGGAGGCAACCAACAGCUUCCACAGUGGCAAGGCAGAAUGACUUCUGACUUUAGAGGGGCUGAGCUGCAGAGGAUGAAUGAUGCUUUCGUUAAAAAAGCAUCAUUAAAAAAGCCGGAAUAUUAGUUCUUUUAGGUUGCAAAGUCAAACACUUUAAACUUCAGAAAUAUCAGAGUUACUUUGCCUCUUGGUGGGGGACUGCCAAGGCAUAUGUAACUUAUUUCAGGGCUGGGGGAAGGGGAAAAUCAUUAGGAUCUGGAAGUCUGGGGAAAGACUAGGAAACUUGUACAAAUAGGCAGCGUGGAGGAUUAUUAGCUCCAAAUUCAUCUCAUUCAGGGCACUUAGGAGGUCUGGUGACAAAUUCAGACUUGGUGGGGUACACAAAUGAUCUAAAAAUGCAGAUGCAAAUUCAAUAUCAUAGUAUCAUCUUUAAAAUAAAAGUGCUUAAUUUCCGAGAUAAAUUCAUGGGUUGGGGGCAGUGACUGACCUGAAAGUUUGGUGCUUACACUGAAUUUAUUGCUUGUGUCCCCAGAGGUCCCAGCUGGUCAGGUGGAGUUGUCAUGCAAAAACCAGCCAAACCUCAGUUCUGUGGCAGCUCCAGCUGAGGGACUGGCUUUUGCUACCAAUUUCUUGGGCUGAGCUUAGUUUUAACAACAUUUGCUUAAGCUCGUCUUUGCUCCAUUGACCUGGUUUCUUCUGGAAAGCACAUGGUGACUCGAAUGGGCUGAGACCUUCCGUGCACCCCGCCGCCGGCUGGGAUCACUGCUGGCCCCCAGCUCCCCGGUCUGGAGGAUGUGCAGGCAGACCUGGGAGCAGCCCAGCACCAAGCACAGCGAUGCUCACACCGCUCCUCCGUCUCCCUGGGUUUGGCACGUCGCACCCAGAGCCCUGGGAGCCGAGUGGCUUUUCGGCUGCCCUCCGCCAGCUCCGCGCCUCCUCCGUCGGGAGACAGCCGGGCUCGCCGGGCAGAGCCUGCCAGAAGGACGGGGGGAACCGGUGGCACGGAGACGGUGCUGGCUGCCCAUCGGAGCUGCUGCCAGCAGCGUCCCAGUGUGAAACCAACGUACCAUAUGGUGAGUAGGUAUGACAGCAUCUGAGCGGGGUGGUGGGCAGCGAAGCGGGACCAUAUAUGAUCAUCCCAUGAGCUUGCGAGAGGAAGGAUUCCAGGCCCAGAAUAUCAGUGCAAUGCUGUCCUGAGCUUGCGCACAUAUGGCAGAGACGAUAUACUAUUAUGAGUCAUUGAGAAAUGUAAUAAAAAUAGGUUCUGCUACUGUGUAAAGAAAAUAACAGGUACUAAUUAAUCUGGAUGCUCUCUAUGGCACAGGGGAGCAGCGAGGAGGGCUGUGGCAGGCAGAGGACUGCCCUCAGUGAGCUGCCGAGGCACAAGGGAGCAAAGCGAGGAGCUCCCAGCACUGGUGUGUCAAGAGAGUUGGCAGAAAGACUGGGAAACCCUGUGUGAUUUCAGCUGAAAAGACUCUUCAGAUAUUUUCUAAUGCUAUUUGUAAUGCAUAUGCAACUGAGCAGGCGCUUUUUUUUAUUUCUAUUCCACAGGAAUUAAAUUAAUUUUAGAAAUGGCACUAUAACUAUUUUCCUGCCUCAGGGACCAUUUGUUUUAAAAUCAUUAAAGAUUUUUAUAUGACACUGCACUGACAUUUGAUGUGAAUAAAUUAAGGGAAUUAGUAUAAAACUGUGUUCUUUCUUCGUAGACUUCCCAGCGCAUAUCUGCACACACGUACAUUUGGUAAGGGUAGCCUGUGUAAAGGCAACGGUGUCUGUGUGUCCACAACGGAAUUACAGCCCUGGGGCAGCUCCACCGCUGAAAGCGCGGCGCAGGACAAUGCCUCCUCAUCUCUUCUCAGUACCUGGGCACAUCCUUGGCGGGGGCCAAACCCGUCGGUUCUGACCCGGCUCUGGAGCCAAAGCACCCCCGCUGGAAUUUUGCGGGCCGCCGUGCAGCCGGCUUGGUCCCGAGAAAGCAGCCGUAACGCUCUCACCGGGUGCCAGGAGGAUUGCUGCCGGCUGCAGAGCGUAGGGCCGGCCGGCAAACCCUACGCUCGGUGCGCUGCCAACGCGCCCAUCAGGUGCUCAGAGACCCCGGGGGGGCUGGAGCGGCGGCUGGCUGCCCAGGUUUCAUUCUGACCCCUUGUACCAGGCUGGCACGCCGCGUGAAGUCUGCUGUGCUGCCAGGCUCCCGCCUGCUCCCCGCACCGCAUGGGCAGCCCCAGGCAGCGACUCCAUUUGCUUUGUCCUCUCUGCCUGCUCUGUGUGCCCUGGGCCCUACUGACUGCCCGCACCCUGAGCGCUCUCACAUCAGAGCGGGACUGGGCAUUUCCCCUGGCACUCUGCAGUGGGACUCGGCAGCGCCAGCUCCGGCUCACUUGGCUGAACUGCCGCAAUUGCUCCUUAGCACAUUCAGUGCUGCCUGGGGACUCAAACCAGAUAUUUAUUUUAAUUUAGGAAGGGGUCCAGUGGCUGCCUGAAGCCUUCUUGGUGCCAUCAGCCACUAGAAGGAGUUGUGCUUCAUGCACGCAAGCGAGAAAAUCAUUUGUAGACAAACAAGCUAUACCGUUUGAGCUUGCAAGAAAGAGUGUGAUGCUGCGAUCUGAACGUAACCUGGAUUCAGACUUCAAGUAAGACAUAUUAAAACUUUAUUUGUUUCACUCUUUUAGAGGAACACUCGCUGCCCAUCACGUUUAACUUUUGGGACGAGCACUUCUAGGUAUCGCCCUUGGGGAUGUUACUGCAUCUGUGACUGCCAAGCUAGUCUCUAACUCCAGUUUUGCUUGGGUCUUCUGAAAAGGCAUACUGCUUUGUUUCCUACAACCCCAUCAUUUCUGACGGCGAUACAAUUGCCUUGUGCACAUUACUGAAACCAGUAGGGGAAAUUAAAAGCAUCAGAAGGUACGUUAAAAGAUGACAUACUUUUUUGUGUUCUAACCCCACCAUGUGAUAUUUAAGCAAAUUGCAUUACUCCAUUAUUAUUUUCCUCUAUGGACACAUGUGGUCAGGAAGGUUGCCGUGCCACACGAGCCCCUCGCUUGCUCCAGCACUGAGCUUGGCUGCGGGAGCCCCGGGGGUCCCAGCCGUGGGGACAGACACAACGGAGAGCUGCGGCUGCGGCUGCAGAGCAAACCCAGGGGAGAGGGUGGGCAGGCAGAGGCUGCAGCUGAGCAGCACGUGGCUUCCCUGUCCCCCCACAACAGCCCGGGCCACCUCACGGCCCUUCACCCUGCACCGUCCUCUGCUCGUCCCCUCUGGCCCCUUGAAAAUCUCCCCGUGCCCUCACGUCCCCGCCGGCGCCGAGCUCGCUGCUGAACCCAGCCCAGCCCAGCUCUGGAAACGCUGAGAAAUGUGGAAAGAGAGAGCCUGUGCAUCAAUUUUCACUUCCAAUAGCUGCUGCAAAAUAGACGGCAUUUCCCACGGAGAGGACCAGACAGGUCCCACUGAAAUCAAUGGCAAGUUUCUCAGACCCAUCAACACCGGUGAGAGCACAUAGAUAAAGGUAAGGCACUUAAUGAAAUGUCUGCGUAUGCAAUGCCAUUAAGGACAGGUUAAUGCAAUAGACUCAACAUGGGGCUAUACCUUAAAACCAUUCGGGAAAUGAAGCUAAUGCAGGGAGCAGCUGCUUUUCUAUUAGGAGCAGCACCGUGCAGGGAGAACAUCAGACCUGUGUGCUGAUCUCCGGCCUCUGCAGGUGGGUUCCCCAGCAGGAUCCACGCUGCAGCCUUCACCUGGACAGCAGGGAUGGCUCUGGUUUCCUGUGAGUUUCCCGCAUUCCCACCCCUCUCCCAGUUUCUCAAACAGUCCCUGGCUCUGCCUUCCUGCUGGGGCCAGGCAACAGGUCUGAUUUGUGAAGAAAUCAGCUUCUGCUGGUGUUAAUGCGCCAGGCUGCACAGCACGUGCGAAUCUCCUUUUGUGCCGGUGCCCUGUUCUGGACGUGGUGGCCCCCCUGGGCGAUGGGGACAUGCGUGGGUGGCAAGUGCUCGACCCACCACAGCUCGUCCGGGACACCCCAGCGCCUGGCCGGCGUGCCGUGCAAGGGCAGGGGUGGUGGCGAGGAGGGACAGUUAGUGGUUUUUGCUGCAGCAUUCCCCUCUUCCCUUUGCAACCCAUCUAGCUCAGGAAGAGGCAGCCGGGGCUCAUCGUCACCGCCCCAAAAGCACAAAGCACCCCCGUGCCACCAGCCAGCGCAGCGGCAGGACCCCCCCGACCGCCCCUCCGGGCGCUGCAACCCCAGCCCAGCCCCCGGCUCCACUGCAGGUUCGGUUCAUGAUUGUCUCAAACAUCACAUGGACACUCUUCACAGCGACUCGGACUUGGCUCUGCUCCAGCCCGGAGUCUCCAGCUCCAGUGUCCACAGUUCGGUGGCACGGUCCCGGGUUGUCCUCGGUGCCGUACGGACAUCCCGAGCUCCCUCCCGUGACUGACUGCGCCGGGAACCCCAGGGGAUGGGGCGGGAAGAAAAGGGGAAGGUAAAAAUAAAUCACUAAGCAAGUUAAGAAAGUCUGAGCCUUUGGAUGAACUGUGGAUGUUUGCUGCCAAGAUUAUUCCAGGGUUUCUUAUUUCGUAGUUGGUUAUCCACAGCAAGCAAUGCCUUUGUCUUUGUGGUCGUUCUCUGUCAGCUGUGGGAAGCCUCCGGCAACCGGGUGUCUGAAAACAAAGGCCAGUUUUCUGGACACUAGGAAUGAAAGCAGGACUUUGUGACUAUUUGCUGAGUCCAGUCUUGAGGUUACAACCCUGAUCUGGUAGAGGACUGGCAGUACCUGACCUGGGGGGGACCCAGACAUCACACAGCCCUGAAGGACAGGCUUGGAGGGACCUCCAGAGCCCACCUGCUCCCUGGGUGGCCCCGUCUUCUCAGCAGAUGUGCUUUUAACCUGCUCUUUAAGGUCCCACC